CAGCACAUGAGUUUCGAAUGACUAGGCUUAUUUAACCCUUUAAGCUUACUUAAACCCUUUUGAAAACACGAGUCUACAGGAACAUAGACCCGCUCUGAUACCACUAUGUAACACCCCAAUUUUCAUAAACUUUUCAAUAUAAAAUCUUUGAAAAAUUAAUAGAUAAAAUAAAAUUCCUUGAAUUAUAAAAGUUUAAACCAAUUUAAACCAACUUGCCAAAACUAAAGUAGUAUCAUAAAAUAAAAAAAAAAUAAAUAAAACGACAAACUAAACUUAACAAAUUCUACUAAAAUGUUCAAUGUAAAAUCCUUAUCACUAGUCAUUCUCCACUUCCAUGGCCAC
This 342-nucleotide long non-coding RNA is filed under the name Salvia miltiorrhiza (redroot sage). Its description in RNAcentral is "long non-coding RNA (SMIL_LNC002564)". Lineage: Eukaryota; Viridiplantae; Streptophyta; Magnoliopsida; Lamiales; Lamiaceae. The record is from RNAcentral.